AAACAAAUCGCCCGCGUCCCCGUCCCCCACCUUCAUCGUCCGGAAAAAAAACCGCAAACAGGAAAAUACUAAACCGCUUCCCACGACUCCAGGCUGCCUCCCCAAUUCGUCUCGCGACCAACCUCCACGCCGCCUCCGCGCAUAUCCGUGAUGCGGCCCUCUUGUGCGAUUCUUCCCUCCACCCCUCGUCGCUCCCCACAAUCGAAACCAUUCCUCGAUCGAGAGAGCCGUGGCGGCGCGGGAGGUGCUAGACUGCUGGAGCACGGGGAAGGGGAGGGAAGGAGGCAGCAGCAGCAGAUGCCGGUGCCGGGCAGCCAGAACGGGCGGCCGAGGCCGUCCAAGGCCGAGACCAUCCAUGGCCUCGUGCGCGCCGGCGACCUCGCGGGCGUCCAGCGGAAGCUGCGGGAGAACCCCGCCCUCCUCAACGACAAGAGACCACGGCAUAACCCCAAUCCACGGAUGACCUGAAUUGAAUACACAAGAGUCAGACCUAAGAAACGAGAUCGAACACAUCGGAGACCUGAAUUGAAUCCACAUCGGAGACCUGAAUUGAAUCCUCGCAUGAUCUGCUCGUUUUCUGCCAGCAUUAUAAGCCCGUUUUCUGACUCCAUUGGUCGCUAACUUGAUCUCUAAAGCAGGUUGCCAUAACCUCGAGUCUGGGUGAGAUCCGCCGGCCACAGCUGAGGACGCGUGAAGAUAGAGGCGAUGUGCUGCAGAUUGGUGGCCACGUUCUGGAGCCGGAGGGGAACGGACACGCUCAGGCGACCGGGGGAAGAAGGCGGCGUCGGGGAUGGGGCUUGCUGGCCCGGCGGCGCGGGCUGCCACUUGAGAGGAAGUCAGGAAUUCAUGAAGCUCCCCCUCUCCUAUGAUCCGCACCCGGCGCCCUACCCGUCGUUGUACGAGUUCAACCAGAUGCUCUCGGUCCCCUCUGUCCACAGGGCUGGCGCCCCCGGUCCUCUGCUCCGCACCCAGAUCGAACGCCACUCGGCCACACAACAAAUUGCAGGUGUUGUUGAGGUGCUGCAGUUGUGUUGUUAAACGUUUGUGAGUAAAACGCUCAUAAGAAGACGUAUGAAUCGAAAACAGAACAGGAAUUCGUCAUAAAUGUCAUAUGUUUAAGAAUUUUUGCCCGACUAAGAAUCCUUCCUAGAAUGAAAAGAGGACAUUGGUGCACUCAACAACAAACUGAGUAACUAGGAAAAUAAGGAUCUUGAUGUCUCGAUCCCAAGAACAAUGACUGAUAAAGUUCUUGAUAGCAAGAAGAACAUUGUGCAAGGUCCGAUGAUAAGCUAUGAAAUUUUUGUAGGAAGUAACAUAAAGGGAGGCAUACAGGAAGCAUUUGCUAUGGCGUAGGUAAAGCAUAUAAGGCUCAACACCUGUAUCCCCCGUUUCUCUUUCUUCUUUUCUUGCAGUUGAUUGAUGGUGAUGGCUUUACAGACUCUAUAUAUCUGCUCCAUGAAUAUUUAUUGGCAUUUCCUUAGUUCUUUGAGGAGCCAUAUUGUUAUUAAGGUCUGAAACACCAAUUGUAUAUUUAUGGGCAUUUACAAGGUCUUUAAAUUCUUGACAGUCUACCAAAAUUAUAUCUGCUUAAGGUGCUGACCGAAUAACCUUUCCAUCCUGACAUUAACCAAUAAAUUCUUAAUCCAACAGCUAAAGACUUGUGCGAAAAUCUUUUAUCUGCUUCUAUGGAACUGCAAAUUGUUCAUCCGGACUGAACCGAAUCCAGUGGCAAAGAUAUACUGCAGAGCAGGUCUAAUCAACGGAGACUACUUCCAGUUGAUUGAGGAAAAUGAGGUGGUCUUUUUCAUUUGUCUUUGUUAGUAGUGAAUUGAAUAUAAAGCUACACUUAUAUAAACUGAAAUCCAAUUCGUUUGUAUUCUAACUUAUCUCUACUAUAUUAAAAAAAAUGGCUAGAGGUGGUGGGAUGGUUGGUACGUCCGUAGCAAUCCCGCCGUGUUAUCUCCGGCCAUCCAACUGCAGGCCGCGACCUGCAGUGACGUCGAAACCCUCCUCACGGCUGGGUAUUCGUUCCAUCCAACAGCUGUAUAGGUUGCCACAAUUGGUCGUUCGACUACAGCUUCAUCGCACACUACCUCUCCUCCUCGAACCUUAAUUGACUAUGCUUUCUGCUCUUCCUCUUUUACAGGUAGUAUUGAUUCUGGUUCCAGUCAAUUGCUUCAGGAGAACCUUGGAGUCGUGUGCGAUAUAUUGGCUUCGGGAGUUCUUUAACUAUCAAUUUCCGAUGGCUGUCAGCCAGAUGAGUUCCCUUGUACUUCCAGACCUCAUCUCUCUAUUCUUAAGUACCCAUGUCCUAAUGUAUGUGUACGCAGGUUUGCUUAGAUUAUUUAUAUAUACGGAUGGUGCCAUGAUACUGUUAGGUAUGGAUGUUGUUGUAUGCGGCAGGUUACUGAGAGAAGGCCAACUGAGAGUGUGAAAUAGAUGUUUCCAUGUUCAUGUUCUUCCGCAGUUCAUUUUUCUAACUUUUACAUACUUUGCUGAUACAUUCAGUGAGUGAGAUAGACGUGCUAUUUAUGUGUAAGAAUGAUGCCAUGAUUCAUUUUGGUUGCUGUAUGCGACAGGUUACCGAGAGGAAGCCAUUUGUUUGUGCUAAAAUACAUAUUUGGGUUGCAAAUUUGUGUUAAAAAUACAUUAUUUUCCAUGUUUAGGAAAUUUGAGUGAGACUCUUCGGAAAUUUGAGCUUGCAUUUACCGAGGUGCAUCUGAGUAGGAGAAUAUUGCAAUAAAUUCACUUGCAGCUAUGUCAAUGACCUGUACAUAACUUGCCUUUUAUAUCCUAGACGUUAUGGUUAGUAGUAAUGUAGAUUAUUUUCUGCUAUUAAAUAAAUGGGAUUUUCUGGUUUAGAAUUUUCCUUCAGCAUUCAUUAUGGUCACAAUAUAUUCGUUACUUUGGCAACAUUCAAGUUUUCAAGUGCAAUAAUUUUGGCUUAGAAUUUCCCUGACAUUUAUGUGAACUGAAUUUUCCUUAAGCAGUUUGUUAGGCAAUUAGAUGCACUAUCAAUCAAUUGAAAGUGCUCCCUGUACAGAGAGGUCCUUGAAUGAGGAGUAUCAAAGAUCAUUUUGGCGCUUUAAGUGUAAGACUUGCUAUUGGUUAGCGCAAUAGGAAGCUAGCAAAAUGGUGAUAUGUACACUAUCAAUUCUUAAAUUACAAACAGGUGAGUUUGUUUUGGGUCAACAAUUGCAAUAUCAUAUUCACUAAUAUUUUUUUACUAAUAAAGUGUUGUUUACUGGGCGCUAUGCCUGGCUACAGGUUAGGGACAUGUCGUUUUUGAAUCACUCUUAGUUACCACUGGAUUUACCCUUUUUUUUCCUUGGAAGUGUGUUAUUAUAUGAUUUCAUUAUUUCCUUGGCAAAUCGCAGCCUCUUAUUUGUAUCCUUCAGUUCAUCUGUUAGAGAGAAACAUAAUUCAAUGGUCUUGCAUUUUUUGAGAAGAUUAAGUGAUGGAAGAGUCGACUGAUAGAGAGAUAAAGUGAGACGGUACGUACAUUGUGUUAUUAUGCUCAGGAUAAAGUCUUCUCAACAUAUCUUUCUUGUGUUCAAUGUUAUUGCAGAAUGGCCGAUCAAGGAGAGCGACAACAUAUCAGAGAGAUAGAGCUGUAGUUAAAGACGAUCGACACGGAGUGCCUAAUGUUGGUGGAAGACUAUACCUAGAGUUGUAGUCAAAGACGAUGGACACGGAGUGCCUAAUGUUGGUGGAAGACUAUACCUUAUCAUCCCAGGUGUAGCCGUGUGGGCAUAAGAGAAAUGAGUGACCCAAAUGAGAGGAACGAGAGUCGGACAAAGUUUUUUGCCGUAUGUGUUGAGACACACGUUUACAUGAAAUAUUAUAGUUUGAUCAGAAUCCAAGUAUAUCUUUAUUUUUUUGGUAGCAA
This is a long non-coding RNA of Lolium perenne, 3889 nucleotides long. RefSeq lists it as uncharacterized. Lineage: Eukaryota; Viridiplantae; Streptophyta; Magnoliopsida; Poales; Poaceae. The record is from RefSeq and is a predicted model, not a curated record.